UGUGUGCUUGGCAUUUCUGAGGGCACAUGAGACAGCAGGUGGAAAUGCCUUGGCAUGGCAGAAUCUGGAGGAUCUCUUCUCUCCUCGAAGUCCGGAGGUGCUGAAUGAAGGCCAGGAAGCUCUGGACGGCCUCGGCCUUGGACAGGUUUUCAGGCUCCAGGUUCUUUCUGAUGGACUUCCAGUGCUCCGCCAGCUGCAAAGCACAGCCCCGGGUGCAAGCCCCUUAGUUCUGAGCUCCGGGCUUACGAAAGGCAAAAGGCGCUGUUCUCCAUGGAGAUACAACGGUCACGCCACCCAUCUCGUACACUGUGUGAAGCCAGCCGCUAAUACGUAGGACUGUUUCCUCUAGGGGGAGGGGGUGGGGGGCACGCUAGAGCUGCUCGACCUUGGACCAUUAGCCAUCUGAGGUUUGGAUGUGUGGGUCCAGCAAUGACUGUGUUGUGACAAGCACACCCGAGGCCAGGCUUUGAGCACACUAGGGGAAGUGUGCGGAAGUUUCAUUAACAGCUGGGGACUUGGUGUUUGGGAAAGGCAAAGUGAGACCUGCCAGAGUCACUGCUUUCUAACUUGCUCGGACCUCACUGCAAAUCAAAGUUUCAAACCUUCUGAGCUCCCUACUCUUCUUACGGCACUGCUUCUGUGGAAUCCAAUGCCGCGCUGUUGCUGGGAUCUCAACUGUUCAGAGUUUGUAUCUAUG
This 697-nucleotide long non-coding RNA is filed under the name Mus musculus (house mouse). RNAcentral describes it as "predicted gene 43691". Lineage: Eukaryota; Metazoa; Chordata; Mammalia; Rodentia; Muridae. The record is from RNAcentral.